Molecule: ribosomal RNA, 773 nt
Filed under: uncultured Neocallimastigales
Lineage: Eukaryota; Fungi; Neocallimastigomycota; Neocallimastigomycetes; Neocallimastigales
Description: partial large subunit ribosomal RNA
Rfam family: Eukaryotic large subunit ribosomal RNA
Source: RNAcentral
AGAGAGAGACAUGCGCGCAUAUCAAUAAGCGGAGGAAAAGAAACUAACUAGGAUUCCCUAGUAACGGCGAGUGAAGCGGGAAGAGCUCAAAUUUGAAAUCUUAAAGGGUUUCCCUUGACGAAUUGUAGUUUAAAGAAGUGUUUUCUGUUGAGGUUUUGGUAAAAGUUCUUUGGAAUAGGACAUCAUAGAGGGUGAGAAUCCCGUAUUUGACCAUUAUUUCCAGCUUUGUGAUACACUCUCAAAGAGUCGGAUUGUUUGGGAAUGCAGUCCAAAAUGGGUGGUAAAUUUCAUCUAAAGCUAAAUAUUGGCGAGAGACCGAUAGCGAACAAGUACCGUGAGGGGAAGAUGAAAAGAACUUUGAAAAGAGAGUUAAACAGUACGUGAAAUUGUCAAAAGGGAAGCGUUUGACACCAGUGUUGUUUUCUCGAAAAUCAAUUAAAAAAGGCAGGAUUUUGUGUUGUAUUGACUUUAUCAGCUUUCUGCACUCUUUUCUUGUCUUUUUUAAUGCACUUUUCGUUUAACAAGUCAACAUCAAUUUCUUUUGUUGUAAAAGGGUCAUUGGAAGGUGGCUUUCUUUUCGGAGAAAGUGUUUAUAGCCUCUUGCCUCUGCAGUCGGAGAGAUUGAGGUCUGCAGCGUAGAUCCUUCGGGGUUAAGAGCAUUUGUGCUAAGUUAUAGCCUUUCAUAGACAACUUGUUGACUAUGAUCAGUCAUGUAGCUUACUCGCUUAUGCUAUUUUACCUACGCUUAGGAUGUUGAUGUGAUACUGCGAGCA